AACGUUGCUAUCUAUCUGACUGCUGCUUUUAUACGCCUGCAUAUCUGAAAUUGAAUUUUGAAAGUUUUGUGAAGAUUGUUGGAAUAUCAUUGUAAGGUAAGACUAUUUAUUUUUGUUUUAAGCGUUAUUUUCCACAGUAAGGCAAAUCCAAAGUAAAUUUAGCGAACAUUAUUGAUGUAUUUGUCUUCCUGUGAACUAUUCAACAACUUUUUUUUCUUAAACCUCAUUUUACACAACUUUUCAUUUUGGGACUGAUUUUUUUCCUGACGAAAGUACAAUUAGUAUAUUUCCGAUCAUCCAAGUUAACAGCCAGGCUACAAAGUUAGAAUAAUUGAACUAUUUUAAUAUUGGCUGUUUGCAAGAAUCAUUAACAUAAAACAAUCUUGUAUAUAAAAAAAGCUCUUGUAUGUCAAAUAAAGAAAAAGUAGCAAUUCCACCGCUGUCUACAGUGUUAUUUUUUUCACUUAUUUAUAUUUUGUUAUUGUUUUUUUAUUAACAUAUGUAAAAUUGUGUACAAUUGGCUUGAAAGUGCACCAUAAACAUAUAAAACAAUUAUAAAGUUAGUCGAAGACAGUCUGUUUAUCUAGCAGUAGUGUGCAUAUAAUUCAAAUGUAAUAAAUUGACACAUGUUAUCAACAUGAACAGGAGUAAAACUGCACAGAUUAUAGUAUUGAUGUUUGAAUGAGUCAUUAACGCCCAUUGUCUAACUAAAUGCAUAUUCCAGACGAGUACAGGCCGAAGCGCUUUUCUUUACUUUCCCUAGUUAUGCACAAAUGUAUCAUGGAUGUUUAAACACGGAGAUAUGUUGGAGGCAACAUAAUCCAAAUAUUUAAACCUUAAAAAUGGAAAAAAUAUCCGAGGUCAACUUUGCCUGGAAGUUGUUUGAACCCUUGUAAACUGCUGUUAAAAUAGUACUAUUUGCUAUUGGUGUUAUAAGAACAGGGAUCAUGUACAGUUAAACCUCGACCAUUAGAAACUAUGUCACAUGAUCGUUGACGUCUUUAACGUCAUAAUUCUAAUAUAUCUUUGGCAACGUCGCUAGUUUGUUAACUUGCCUUCAGCAGUGUACACGCUUUUUAAAGAUUUUAAACUAAUAUAACCAUUUGUCCGAGAUUCAGCAAUCGAGAACAACUUGGUAAGUUUAUAUUCAUACAUUAAAAAAAACAUUGAUAUAUUAUUGCAUGAACGAGCAAUAGGUUGGAUGAGCCAAACAAUGAGUUCUUUGAUCAGAGGAAAAAAAUGAGAAAGAGAGAGAUGGAGUGAGAAACUGAGAGAUUUAAUUACAACAAAUUAGGCAAAUUAUAUUUAAAAUUACCGAAUAAAACAGCUUUACUGUAAUAUUUGCACUUUUUUCAGAAUAGAAAUGGAGACCGAUAAUAGCAGUCUUGUGUGAAUAUCCGGAGUUUAAUGGUGUCAUUAUUUCAAGUUGCUUUCAGGUAAGUACUGACUACCAUCAUUAUGAUAUAUGUUCGCACUGCUAGUUAUAUAAUUUCUAGCUUGAAAUUUAUUCUAAAAUGUAAGAACUAUUGAGUAUUGGCUAAGAUUUUAACACUACAAAAAUGUAUAUUACUUCAAAUAAUAACCAAAUGCUCUCGCAGGGCGCAGCUUUAUACGACCGCAGAGGUCGAACCCUGAACAGUUAGGGCAAGUAUGGACACACCAUUUAAGCUUGAUACAGCUCUGAAUUUGGAUUGUGAUUAAAUAGUUGACACAACAUAGGUUUUUGACACAGAAUGAAUGUGGUCUAAGAACUUAAACUUUAAAACUUAAAAAUUUUAAUUUUGGACAUUUACCUAUUAUGGUCCAAUAUCCAAAAUCUAAAUACAUGGUUAGAUUCAGCAUAUCAUAGAACUCCAAGAAUUCAAUUUUUGAUGAAAUCAAAUAAUGUUCAAUUUUAGACUUCAAUGUGGACUCAAAUGGAAGUUUUUAACGACCUUGACUGGCUAUACAGCCCUUGCACGGUCGGUGGACUAAUUUGAUAACCGGGCCCAAAUAUUAAAAAUCUAAGUACAUGUUUAGAUUCAGCAUAUCAAAGAACCCAAAGAAUUCAAUUUUUGUUAAAAUCAAACUAAGUUUUAACUAAGUUUACGUAAAACAAUUUGAAAACAGGACCAAAAAUUAAGAAUCUAAAUACACGGUUAGAUUUGGCAUAUCAAAGAACCCUAAUAACUUAUUUUUAAAUGAAAUCAAACAAAGUUUAGUUUUGGACCCUUUUGGUCCCUUAUUCCUUAACUGUUGGACCAAACUCCAAAAUCAAUCCAACCUUCUUUUUUGUGUCAUAACCUUGUGUUAAAAUUUCAUAGAUUUCUAUUUUUAUACUAAAGUUAUUGUGGGAAAACCAAGAAAAAUGCUUAUUUGGGACCUUUUUUUGGCUCCAAUUCCUAAACUGUUAGGACCAAAACUCCCAAAAUCAAUCACAACCUUUCUUUUGUAGUCAUAAACCUUAUGUUAAAAUUUCAUAGAUUUCUGUUUUCUUAUACUAAAGUUUAUGUGCGAAAACCAAGAAAAAUGCUUAUUUGGGCCCUUUUUGGCCCCUAAUUCCUAAUCUGUUGUGACCAAAACUUCCAAAAUCAAUCCCUACCUUUCUUUUAUGGUCAUAAAAGAGGGACGAAAGAUACCAAAGGGACAGUCAAACUCAUAAAUUUAAAACAAACUGACAACCUCAUGGCUAAAAAAAAAACAACAAACAACAGCACACACGACCAACAUAGAAAAACUAAAGAAUAAACAACACGAAACCCCCAAAACUUAUCUCAGGUGCUAUCCUGCAUAAACCUUGUGUUUAAAUUUCUAGAUUUCUAUUUACUUAUACUAAAGUUAUAGUGCGAAAACCAAAUGUCUUCGGACGACGAAGACGACACCGCGCACGGACGACGACGUACGACCAAAUUUUUUUCAAUUUUUGCGGUCGUAUAAAAAAAUGUUAGACAUCUACAUUUUCUAAUUAAAAAAAAAAGUAAAACAUUCAGUGUGUCUGGCUCCUCUCUUUGAGACUUUCUCUUCACUUUUCGUGUAUUUUAUUGAAUGGAAUAUAAUUUUCCUUAACGGCGUUACAUAAAUUCUUAAUGAUCCUUGCUUUCAUUUUCAGCGAAAUAGAAGCUAACAUUAUGUCUGGCGCACAAAUAGUUAAUUGUAACGAGACUGAAAUACCACUGAAUAACAAUGAAGAAGAUAUAACAGACGACGAUGAAUGCGCUGCUUUUUACAAAUCCGUCAGAGAUGCUGAAUACAGUAAACUUGUUGACGCAUAUGCCAAAGAAAAGAUAAUCCUGGAAGAAAAGGAGAGAAAUAGGAAAGUAAGAGAACAAGAAAAGAUAAUUUCAACCAAAGAAAUAACAGACGACGAUGAAUGUGCUGCUUUUUACAAAUCCGUCAGAGAUGCUGAAUACAGUAAACUUGUUGACGCAUAUGCCAGAGAAAAUAUAAUCCAGGAAGAAAAGGAGAGGAAAUAGAGUUAACAAAAGACCAAGAAAAGAUAGAGAAGCAAUUUGAAGAAUUCUGGAAACCAGCCACUGACCUUGACUCACUGCGGCGUGUUUCCCAGGAGGUACUAACAUAUUUUUGUUUAAAUGCGUUUGAGUAAUUGGUGAUAAGGAACUUAGCAUUUUAAAAAAAAAAACUAUAGGACUAUAGGUACAGCAGUGUUUAUAUUUGUGUACAAAAUUAUGGUAUCAGUGUUUAUAUUAAAAACAAUUACACUUUCGUAAAAGCAACCCUCCAAUCAAUCAGUAGCUCAUAAAGUUUCCUUCCAUUUUUUUUUUUUAUUUUAUUUAAAUGACCUGUUUCAAUAUUUUGCGUAGAUAGCAAUAGUUUACUAUCUUAAAUUCAUAUAUUUAUAUUUUUUUUUUGUUGACAGGCAAGAGACAAUACAGAGAAGGAUUGGACUUCACAACAAGAUCUGUGUCUUAAAGAGGAACACAUAGAGAAAAGACAACAAGGACCCUUCCUUUCACCGGCGAAAGAAGAAAGAAUAAACUCAUUUGUGAGAGAACAGCAUAACAAUUACCAAAGCUUCCAAAUGACAGACACGUGGAAUGUAGCAAUCGACAGUAAGCACAUAUAGAAAUUAACCCCUUUAACGAAAAUAUGAGAUUUAAAAAAAAGGUCGAGGAACACGUAUGAAAAUAUAAACAAACGUGCCUAAAAGGAAAAUAAUCCUAACAAAUCAAACAUGAUAAUUGUUUUCGAUGUUAACCUAAAAUAAAUUAGAAAAAAUUUAUCUUAUGACAUGUUGAUUAAAAAUAACGUAGUUCCCAAGUGCAAACAUGGCCUGUUUCAUAUUUGAAAAUUUAAAAAUAUUAAACAAAAUAAUUUAAGAGCUUUUGAAACCAAAAAAGGACAUUAAAGUAUAAUAUAUAAUAACUAAAAUUACCGUAAUAAUGAGUUUGUCGUUAGAGACACAAGCAAUCGUUGGUGUUACAACAGUAACAGUGUGUGUUUUUUUCAAAUUUUCAAGUUUAUAAUUGAGAAACAUUUUUGCUUUGUUUUUCAGAAGAACUGGACGGAUCUGUAAUAAGUGAAACUGUUCCAAAUAAAAGGGGAUAUCUUCAAAGGAUAGCCGAUAUAGUAUU
RNAcentral lists this long non-coding RNA (4571 nucleotides) under Mytilus galloprovincialis (Mediterranean mussel). The record is from RNAcentral. Lineage: Eukaryota; Metazoa; Mollusca; Bivalvia; Mytilida; Mytilidae.